RNAcentral lists this ribosomal RNA (208 nucleotides) under uncultured bacterium. Its description in RNAcentral is "partial 16S ribosomal RNA". It matches the Rfam family "Bacterial small subunit ribosomal RNA", at positions 568 to 774 of the family's 1533-position model. The record is from RNAcentral.
UAUCGUAGGCGGUUUGGUAAGUGUGUGGUGAAAUCCGUGGGCUCAACUCACGAAUUGCUGCGCAUACUACCAAACUAGAGAUUGCUAGAGGAUGCUGGAAUUCUCGGUGGAGCAGUGAAAUGCGUUGAUAUCGAGAAGAACACCAAGGGCGAAGGCAGGCAUCUGGAGCACAUCUGACGCUGAUGAACGAAAGCUAGGGGAGCGAAAG